GACGAACGCUGGCGGCGUGCCUAAUACAUGCAAGUAGAACGCACAGUUUAUACCGUAGCUUGCUACACCAUAGACUGUGAGUUGCGAACGGGUGAGUAACGCGUAGGUAACCUGCCUGGUAGCGGGGGAUAACUAUUGGAAACGAUAGCUAAUACCGCAUAAUAUUAAUUAUUGCAUGAUAAUUAAUUGAAAGGUGCAAUUGCACCACUACCAGAUGGACCUGCGUUGUAUUAGCUAGUAGGUGAGGUAACGGCUCACCUAGGCGACGAUACAUAGCCGACCUGAGAGGGCGAUCGGCCACACUGGGACUGAGACACGGCCCAGACUCCUACGGGAGGCAGCAGUAGGGAAUCUUCGGCAAUGGACGAAAGUCUGACCGAGCAACGCCGCGUGAGUGAAGAAGGUUUUCGGAUCGUAAAGCUCUGUUGUAAGAGAAGAACGGGUGUGAGAGUGGAAAGUUCACACUGUGACGGUAUCUUACCAGAAAGGGACGGCUAACUACGUG
RNAcentral lists this ribosomal RNA (505 nucleotides) under uncultured bacterium. RNAcentral's name for it is "partial 16S ribosomal RNA". It matches the Rfam family "Bacterial small subunit ribosomal RNA", at positions 28 to 507 of the family's 1533-position model. The record is from RNAcentral.